RNAcentral lists this ribosomal RNA (206 nucleotides) under uncultured bacterium. Its description in RNAcentral is "partial 16S ribosomal RNA". It matches the Rfam family "Bacterial small subunit ribosomal RNA", at positions 568 to 774 of the family's 1533-position model. The record is from RNAcentral.
UGCGUAGGCGGCCGAUAAAGUCAGGGGUGAAAGGCUACGGCUUAACCGUAGUAAGCCUUUGAAACUUAUUGGCUUGAGUGCAGGAGAGGAGAGUGGAAUUCCUAGUGUAGCGGUGAAAUGCGUAGAUAUUAGGAGGAACACCAGUGGCGAAGGCGACUCUCUGGACUGUAACUGACGCUGAGGCACGAAAGCGUGGGGAGCGAACA